GGGAUAACUACCGGAAACGGUGGCUAAUACCGGAUAUGAGGUGCCUGGGCAUCUGGGCGCCUGGAAAGUUUUUCGGUCAGGGAUGGGCUCGCGGCCUAUCAGCUUGUUGGUGGGGUGAUGGCCUACCAAGGCGACGACGGGUAGCCGGCCUGAGAGGGCGACCGGCCACACUGGGACUGAGACACGGCCCAGACUCCUACGGGAGGCAGCAGUGGGGAAUAUUGCACAAUGGGCGCAAGCCUGAUGCAGCGACGCCGCGUGCGGGAUGACGGCCUUCGGGUUGUAAACCGCUUUCAGCAGGGAAGAAGCGCAAGUGACGGUACCUGCAGAAGAAGCGCCGGCUAACUACGUGCCAGCAGCCGCGGUAAUACGUAGGGGCGCAAGCGUUGUCCCGGAAUUAUUGGGCGUAAAGAGCUCGUAGGCGGUUUGUCGCGUCUGCUGUGAAAUCCUCAGGCUCAACCUGGGGCUUGCAGUGGGUACGGGCAGACUAGAGUGCGGUAGGGGUGACUGGAAUUCCUGGUGUAGCGGUGGAAUGCGCAGAUAUCAGGAGGAACACCGAUGGCGAAGGCAGGUCACUGGGCCGCAACUGACGCUGAGGAGCGAAAGCAUGGGGAGCGAACAGGAUUAGAUACCCUGGUAGUCCAUGCCGUAAACGUUGGGCACUAGGUGUGGGGUCCAUUCCACGGAUUCCGUGCCGCAGCAAACGCAUUAAGUGCCCCGCCUGGGGAGUACGGCCGCAAGGCUAAAACUCAAAGAAAUUGACGGGGGCCCGCACAAGCGGCGGAGCAUGCGGAUUUAAUUCGAUGCAACGCGAAGAACCUUACCAAGGCUUGACAUACACCCGGAAAAGUGCAGAGAUGUGCUCCCCGUAAAGGUCGGUGUACAGGUGGUGCAAUGGNUUGUCGUCACCUCGUGUCGUNGAGAUGUUGGGUUAAGUCCCGCAACGAGCGCAACCCUCGUCCCAUGUUGCCAGCGGGUUAUGCCGGGGACUCAUGGGAGACUGCCGGGGUCAACUCGGAGGAAGGUGGGGAUGACGUCAAAUCAUCAUGCCCCUUAUGUCUUGGGCUUCACGCAUGCUACAAUGGCCGGUACAAAGGGCUGCGAUACCGCAAGGUGG
Molecule: ribosomal RNA, 1117 nt
Filed under: Cellulomonas sp.
Lineage: Bacteria; Bacillati; Actinomycetota; Actinomycetes; Micrococcales; Cellulomonadaceae
Description: bacterial SSU rRNA
Rfam family: Bacterial small subunit ribosomal RNA
Source: RNAcentral